This 108-nucleotide ribosomal RNA is filed under the name Erinaceus europaeus (western European hedgehog). Lineage: Eukaryota; Metazoa; Chordata; Mammalia; Eulipotyphla; Erinaceidae. The record is from RNAcentral.
GUCUAAGGCCAUACCAUCUUGAACACGCCCGAUCUCAUCUGAUCUCGGAAGAAAAAAAGACAUUAAGUUUUCUCUUAGAAAUCCAUGUGGAAACUGAGGUUUGAGAAG